Long non-coding RNA from Oreochromis aureus, 1067 nucleotides. RefSeq lists it as uncharacterized. The record is from RefSeq and is a predicted model, not a curated record. NCBI's taxonomy places the organism in Eukaryota, Metazoa, Chordata, Actinopteri, Cichliformes, Cichlidae. The transcript has 5 exons.
UGCAAAGGCCAACAAGACCCUAUUCCGGGAAGCUGGGAGGAGAUGGUGUGCAUUUAUGUCAAGGUUCAUGAAGAUGCUAAAGCUAAGACAGUAACCUUCCCCUCGACGCCUCUAAUCCUCCAACAACUGGGUCGAUCCUUGGCUUGCAGAUCAAUCAGACGAGCACCCAGGGAGACGAUGUGCUGGGUGGAUCUGAUGUGUUUUACCAGCCGCUCAGUUGGGAACCAUUACAGAAAAGUAACACAGUUAUGCAUGCAGUCAAAACCUCACAUAACUGAAAAUCCUGACAGCGGAGUCCUUACGGAUUGGUGUUUUGGCUCUGUUCUGAGGCUCAGUAGCAAGACUACAGCACAGAACACACCUUAAUAACAACAGACGUGAUGCUGAUCAAGUUCGACAGGAUAAAAGGAAGACCUGGGGUGGAGAUGAUGACCAGCUGACACAUGUCCUCACUGACAUCUUCAACCUCUCCCUGAGCACUGCUGUCAUCCCAAUGGGCCUCAAGGCCACCACCGUCCUUCCUGUGCCAAAGAAGUCCUCAGUGUCCUUCCUCAAUCACUACCGCCCCAUUGCACUCACACCCAUCAUGAUGAAGUUCUUCGAGAGGCUCGUCAUGAGGUGCAAAUGUGAGCAUCCGUCUCUAUGUGAUAGCCCUGUGACUUUUCUGAGAUGUACCCCACCUCUCACCCUAUGGCAGCUGGGAUGGCCUCCAGAGCUUCCUCUGUGAUCCUGAAUUGAAGAAGUGGAAGAAAACGGAUGGAUGGGCUAUUAGUGGCAACAAAAGUUACUCAACCUCACACAUCUCUAUGUAUGAACAUGACUAGAUUUAAUCCACACAUUCUACUGUAUAAUGUUACGUGACUCAAACAUCCCACACAGAGAUAACGCCCAAAUUCAAAAUAACCCAAGCAAGAGAAGUAUAGAAUCACUCAGGCAAUCAAUAGUUCAGUAAACACACAAUCUUUAUGAAUGAUUUUACACAGAGAUCAUCUUGUUUUAUUGAUUUUUUUCCCCCUGUGCUUUCUUGCUAUACUCUUAGCCAAACAUGCAGUUGAUUAAAGCUUGUG